RNAcentral lists this unclassified non-coding RNA (204 nucleotides) under soil metagenome. RNAcentral's name for it is "partial contains 5.8S ribosomal RNA, internal transcribed spacer 2, and large subunit ribosomal RNA". The record is from RNAcentral.
AACGGUCUAUACCUGCGGUACCUGCGGAGGGAUCAUUACCGAGUUUACAACUCCCAAACCCCUGUGAACAUACCACUCGUUGCCUCGGCGGAUCACCGCGCCCCGUGAAACGGGCCGGCCCGCCAGAGGACCUAAACUCAAAUGUUUUAUUGUAUCUUCUGAGUAAAAACACAAAUAAAUCAAAACUUUUAGCAAUGGAUCUCU